This 1137-nucleotide unclassified non-coding RNA is filed under the name Hevea brasiliensis (rubber tree). Lineage: Eukaryota; Viridiplantae; Streptophyta; Magnoliopsida; Malpighiales; Euphorbiaceae. The record is from RNAcentral.
CUAUAUCGCGACUCAGGGCAGCCUGGGAAUGCCUCCACGUUGGCACCGGAAUGCAUGGUUUCGGCCUGUGAAUUUUGAAUUAGCAGUUUUGGCAUAUGACGGAUUGUCUUCUGCUAGAGAGCCAUGUGAUUCAAUUAAACUUUGUCAAUUUUUGUGCCGAUAGAGACGCAUCUUGAGUUCAUUAGAAGCUAUCAUUUUCUUCCCAAAAUCGCCAAAUCCCUCUACCACAAAAUGAGCAGCAUUUCUUCAAUAAGAAAUAUCAGCAAACGCCACCUAUGUUCCAAUUUUUUUAUUGGAACUUCCCUUCCAAGCCUACAAUGGAGAUUCUACAGUCGCGCUCGCUCUCCUCAGCAAUUCACCAGAACCAUAAACCUCAAAGUCUCUCCCUUUCUCUAUACACCGUUUCCCUCGCAUCCCUUUUCCACUUUGAAUUCGAAAUCUAAAGUUGGAUUUAUAGGAUGGUAUUUGGGGAAGCUCGAUUCACGCCCAAUCCUGACGAAAACUAUCACAACUUCUCUUAUUUUCGCCGCUGCUGACUUGACCGCUCAGAUGUUGUCACCAUCAUCUGGAUCUGGUUCAUUUGACUUAAUAAGGACACUACGCAUGGCUGCAUAUGGGUUGCUGAUUUUAGGGCCAUCACAGCAUCUGUGGUUCAAUCUUAUGUCAAAAACUUUGCCAAAACGUGAUGUGUUGACUACCUUGAAGAAAACUUUUAUGGGACAGGCUAUUUAUGGACCUGCUAAUGCCAUUGUUUUCUUCUCCUACAAUGCAGCUUUACAAGGUGAAAGUGGUGAUGAGAUUGUUGCUAGAUUGAAGCGUGAUGUGCUCCCAACAUUGAGAAAUGGUCUUUUGUAUUGGCCAUUCUGUGAUUUUUUUACAUACAAAUUUGUUCCAGUUCAUCUACAGCCAUUGGUGAACAGUGUGUGUGCAUAUCUAUGGACAAUCUAUUUAACAUACAUGGCAAGCUUACAAAAAGUGAUCACCAGUUAAUCUUUAGAAUUUUACUUCAAAUCAUCCACAGCUUGUACGCACUAUGAGUUAGCUAAAGAAAGAGGAGAAGAACCUGACUGGUGCGACCCAUCUUGCUGGUUCUAGAUUAAUCAUUAAUAUUAAAUUCAUAAAGAAACUGAUUAUCUA